CCUACGGGGGGCAGCAGUGGGGAAUAUUGGACAAUGGGGGCAACCCUGAUCCAGCCAUGCCGCGUGUGUGAAGAAGGCCCUCGGGUUGUAAAGCACUUUCAGUGAGGAAGAACGCCUGGUGGUUAAUACCCAUCAGGAAAGACAUCACUCACAGAAGAAGCACCGGCUAACUCCGUGCCAGCAGCCGCGGUAAUACGGAGGGUGCGAGCGUUAAUCGGAAUUACUGGGCGUAAAGCGCGCGUAGGUGGCUUGAUAAGCCGGUUGUGAAAGCCCCGGGCUCAACCUGGGAACGGCAUCCGGAACUGGCAAGCUAGAGUGCAGGAGAGGAAGGUAGAAUUCCCGGUGUAGCGGUGAAAUGCGUAGAGAGCGGGAGGAAUACCAGUGGCGAAGGCGGCCUUCUGGACUGACACUGACACUGAGGUGCGAAAGCGUGGGUAGCAAACAGGAUUAGAUACCCCAGUAGUC
Molecule: ribosomal RNA, 465 nt
Filed under: Vreelandella stevensii
Lineage: Bacteria; Pseudomonadati; Pseudomonadota; Gammaproteobacteria; Oceanospirillales; Halomonadaceae
Description: partial 16S ribosomal RNA
Rfam family: Bacterial small subunit ribosomal RNA
Source: RNAcentral